CCGAAAGCUAUUUAGGUAGCGCCUCGUGAACUCAUCUUCGGGGGUAGAGCACUGUUUCGGCUAGGGGGUCAUCCCGACUUACCAACCCGAUGCAAACUACGAAUACCGAAGAAUGUUAUCACGGGAGACACACGGCGGGUGCUAACGUCCGUCGUGAAGAGGGAAACAACCCAGACCGCCAGCUAAGGUCCCAAAGUCAUGGUUAAGUGGGAAACGAUGUGGGAAGGCACAGACAGCCAGGAUGUUGGCUUAGAAGCAGCCAUCAUUUAAAGAAAGCGUAAUAGCUCACUGGUCGAGUCGGCCUGCGCGGAAGAUGUAACGGGGCUAAACCAUGCACCGAAGCUGCGGCAGCGACACUAU
RNAcentral lists this ribosomal RNA (360 nucleotides) under Listeria monocytogenes. Its description in RNAcentral is "partial 23S ribosomal RNA". It matches the Rfam family "Bacterial large subunit ribosomal RNA", at positions 859 to 1217 of the family's 2925-position model. Lineage: Bacteria; Bacillati; Bacillota; Bacilli; Caryophanales; Listeriaceae. The record is from RNAcentral.